This 165-nucleotide ribosomal RNA is filed under the name uncultured bacterium. RNAcentral's name for it is "partial 16S ribosomal RNA". It matches the Rfam family "Bacterial small subunit ribosomal RNA", at positions 355 to 511 of the family's 1533-position model. The record is from RNAcentral.
UAGGGAAUCUUCCACAAUGGGGCGCAAGCCUGAUGGAGCAACACCGCGUGAGUGAAGAAGGGUUUCGGCUCGUAAAGCUCUGUUGUUAAAGAAGAACACGUAUGAGAGUAACUGUUCAUACGUUNACGGUAUUUAACCAGAAAGUCACGGCUAACUACGUGCCAG